This 450-nucleotide ribosomal RNA is filed under the name Klebsiella aerogenes. Its description in RNAcentral is "bacterial SSU rRNA". It matches the Rfam family "Bacterial small subunit ribosomal RNA", at positions 42 to 482 of the family's 1533-position model. The record is from RNAcentral. Lineage: Bacteria; Pseudomonadati; Pseudomonadota; Gammaproteobacteria; Enterobacterales; Enterobacteriaceae.
GCAGUCUACACAUGCAAGUCGAGCGGUAACACAGGGAGCUUGCUCCUGGGUGACGAGCGGCGGACGGGUGAGUAAUGUCUGGGAAACUGCCUGAUGGAGGGGGAUAACUACUGGAAACGGUAGCUAAUACCGCAUAACGUCGCAAGACCAAAGAGGGGGACCUUCGGGCCUCUUGCCAUCAGAUGUGCCCAGAUGGGAUUAGCUAGUAGGUGGGGUAAUGGCUCACCUAGGCGACGAUCCCUAGCUGGUCUGAGAGGAUGACCAGCCACACUGGAACUGAGACACGGUCCAGACUCCUACGGGAGGCAGCAGUGGGGAAUAUUGCACAAUGGGCGCAAGCCUGAUGCAGCCAUGCCGCGUGUAUGAAGAAGGCCUUCGGGUUGUAAAGUACUUUCAACGAGGAGGAAGGCAUUAAGAGUUAAUAUACCUUGUGUGAUUGACGUUACUCUC